Molecule: ribosomal RNA, 254 nt
Filed under: uncultured bacterium
Lineage: Bacteria
Description: partial 16S ribosomal RNA
Rfam family: Bacterial small subunit ribosomal RNA
Source: RNAcentral
UACGUAGGCAGCAAGCGUUGUUCGGAAUUACUGGGCGUAAAGAGUGUGUAGGCGGUGUUCUAAGUUUGUCGUGAAAUCUCCCGGCUUAACUGGGAGGGUGCGGCGAAAACUGGAAUGCUAGAGGAUGGGAGAGGUAAGCGGAAUUCCUGGUGUAGCGGUGAAAUGCGUAGAUAUCAGGAGGAACACCUGUGGUGUAGACAGCUUACUGGACCAUUUCUGACGCUGAGACACGAAAGCGUUGGGUAGCAAACAGG